UUUGAUCUUUGCUUUGGGAGAACAUGGGCUAUCUUUUCUUCUCUUUUUUUUCAGGUGGGUAGUGGAUACCCCUAAUUCUACUGUCGGACACUUGUCCAUUUUUUCCGCUCAAGUGGGCAUCUUUGUACCCCUAAUUCUACUUCGAACACUUGUCCAUUUUUACCUCUCGUCUCACUCUUUUUCUUUCUUUUUCGAGGUUCCGGGCACUUGCCCCUUUUUAUUUCCUCGCAUAUUUUUGCAUAACCCAUGCCUCUUCUGCAUUGAAUCUUUUUAGAGAGAAAGAAUAACAAUACUUGGGACAGUGAGUGAUAAUAUUUUUAGCAAUUUUAAUGAAUGGUGAUGGAUAGUGUAGUAGAUGUGUGCAAGUGAAUAUCUUAAUUUAACCACAUGAAAAGCUUCUAAGGGUCCACACAGCUCGAUCAAACUCAAUGUAAAUAUAGUAAAAGAUGUUAUAGCAAGUAUGGAUGUAGUAGGUAGUUUGCAAUGCUAGUAACUCAUCAUGUGAUUUUUAAGUUUUCAAAAUAAAUCUCUAGAACUUAGUGUAGUAGGAACAAGAUAAACAGUAGCUCAAACUUUAUAUCAUGCCUUUCUCUUACUCGGACUUUAGUUUUAUGCUUUCUAUACAUAGUAAAUUCAGUUUCAGUAAUUCCUGGAAGAACUCUAAUAUAGAAGCUAGGUACUUGUAAGUAAGCAAACAGAGCAACUGUUCAUCAUUUCCAUCAUGCAUCUUUUUGGUCUUUUAUUUUUCUAGAGAUUAAACUUAGCAGGAAAAUAAAGCACACUUAUCUACACACUCUUUUUAUUUUGUUUUCAUGUUUAUAGAAUGCAGUAAAUUAAAGCAAGAAAAUAUUUAUUGGGUUUUCUAAAUGUUUCUCUUAAGAUGAAAUACUAAAAUAGAAAAGAAUAAAUAAGUAAAGCAAAUAAAAACUUACUUGAUAAAUUGGGGAGGAACUCCCCCAAGCUGGAUGUUGCUGUCGGUCUUACCCGAUGUUCCAGAACCGCAUCAUGGUUGUAAUGUUGUCGUUCAUUGUUGUUGUAUCUUGUCUCAGCUCUUGUACUGUAGCGGCAUGGUCCUGGUUCCAUUUUUGUUGCUCUUCCAGGAGUCGUCCAUGCUCUGCUUGCGUGUUCUGGAUGUCGAGGAGGGUGUUGUCGGUACGGGUGAAGAAAGCGCCGGCCUCUUGGUAGUAGUCAUUCGUGAAAGCGUAGGAGGCGUCGGAGUAUCGUCCUGCAUCAAAUUGGGGCGGAGGUCUGGAUCCUGAAGCUCCAUAUGGAUUAGUGGAGUACCUACCAGUUUGAAAAGGCGGGUUUGUCCACUGGUGAUCUUGGCUCUCCGGCCAUGUCUCCUCUGUUGGCUCUUGUGGUUGCGCAUGUCGAACCCAUGGGUCUCGAAGGAUUCGGGGGUUGUAGUCAUAAUAAUGCAGGUGCGCUGCUUCUUCUGGUCCGGGAUCAGCUUCAUACCAGGUGCAUUCUUGAUGGGUGAUCAUCCUUUCAGAUGCCACUCGCUGUGGAGCUCUCUGGUUCACUGGUGUUGCUGCAAUCUCAAUCAAAAAAUUUUGAACAACGUAGAGGCCAAGGUUCGGGUUAGGUAAAUGAAUCUUGCCUUUAUCAUCAUAUAGCAUAUACAUUAUGUUCCCCUCUUUCUUUAACAUCCGAGCUUGUCUAAAUGUGUCAUAGCCAUGAUAAAUUCUUAACUCAUCUAUGAAUUCCAGUGAUGAAUUUUCUAGCAAAUGAAGAUUAGAGGCUAGACGAGUGAUAAGUGAAGUACAUCCUACUGGUCCCUGAAGACUAGGUACACUAAGCCAAUGAGAAACUAAAAGUGUAACAGGUGGAGUGGGUACUUUAUUAAUAGCAGCAUAUAAAAGUUGUAAAUCUCCUACUCUUACUUUCCUAAUAUCAUCAUGAUAGAAAAGAUUGUACCCAAGCCAUUUGUGGAACAUCCUAAGAGUGGGGUGUUCCAUGUCACUGGUUCGGGCUUGACUAUAAAAAUUUUCUCUAGAUAUUUCUCUCCAAAACUGGUGUCUCUCAAAGUUAGGUAGGUCGGAGUCAAUGUUCAGGAUGCAUCUUGAAGAGAAACCAAGAUGGUCGCUCAGCUCUCUCCAAGACAACAUAAUUUCCUGUUUGAACAUCUGAAAAACAAUUCCCCCCUCAUAAUAUUGUAAGGUGCAAAGAAAAUUGAGGGUGAGAAGACGAGAACCCAGCUCAGUUAUAUUCCAAAAAUUUGUCCAACCUAUCAUCUGGAAAAUUAAGUCGAAUUUAGUGUCCAUACCUGUUUCUUGUAGCAAGAUUGGAUCAAGAGUAGGGGUGUGAAUGAAAUCUUCAUUCUUUAGUUGCUGGUAAACUUCCUUUUCCGUUCAGGUCUUUAGUCCAAGGUCUUCUAUCUUGAGAAGGACCUUGACUUGUUGAUUAGAUGAAGAUGACGGAGCUUGUGUGGGCGUUGGGUCGACGCUCAUCUCUGAUGGGUAUGAGGAGUGUCGGGAUGAACUCCUUGUACCAAUGUUCUUGAGAGCCUUCCCUGCAUUCUUCACCUUCUUAAACAGCCUGUAAACAAAAGUUGGCAAAAACACAACUAGUGGAAAAUGUGAGAGAAAAUAUUAGUGGUCAGCUAUCCGGAAUGUCAGUAGUCUAGGGGUUAGUCGUUCAAGACAAGUUUCUAUUUUGGCAGAACCUCCCCCUAAACAACUUUUACUUCCGCUUGGACAGCGGAAUCACUACUUACUAGGUGAAACUCACUUUCUCACUCAAAAACUACCAACUUCUUUCCCACUCUUCUCUUCCUCUCUACUCUCUCUUUUCUUCACUACAAGAGCUCCUUCUCUGGAAACUGAAACUUGUGUGGUUUUCUGGAGUGCUUGUGUGAAGAAGAUGGAGGUAGAAGGUGACUAUUUAUAGGAGGAAGAGGGGGCAGGGCGGGCGCCCUUGGUAGGUGGGCGGGCGCCCACCUUUGGUGCCCAUUCUGGCUGCCCUAUCUCCACUCCUUUCUCUGCUUAAUUCUCACGCAAAAUAAUGCAUCAUGGGUGGUGGUUGGCCGGUGGAAAAAGUUCUGGUUAGUGGAGAUAUGUUGGUGGAUCAAAUAAUGUGAUGGGAUGUAUGUGAGGUGUGGUGUAUGACAUGUGGGACCCAAGGAGUGUGGGUCAUGCUCCUAGAAGAUUAAUAUAAUUAAAUAUAAUGCAGGAAAAUCUAUGAGAAUUGAAACUUAAUUAAAAUGAUAAUGGAAAAUAUUUUUGUGCCUCCACAACAACUAAUAAAUAUGGGUUGUUACACACCAUGAAUAUUAUUUAUAUGGGGCUUUUUAUUAUUAUAAUGAUGCUAUGACUAAUGCAAGAAUUAAUUAUGCAAAAAUUCAAACAAUGUGGAUAAAUACCGAUUUACCUCCUAGCGAGGGUUUGGGAUUUUUAGGUCCCCCAAGCUGGACCUCCAAAUCUUUUAAUCUUCUGAAUUAUCUUCCUCCGGAGAUGGUGUCUCCAGUGGUUCUUCAUGAACUUCCUUCAUUGUAGAGUCUCUCUCUAGUUUGGGUUUGAAUGUGAAGUGUUCUUCUUGUCCAUUUAUGUUGAACUUGAUUUCUCCUUUCCCGACAUCAAUGUGGGCAUUGGCAGUGCUCAGAAAUGGCCUUCCAAGGAUGAUGGACACUUUUGAGUCAGGACUCAUGUCCAGUACUACGAAGUCUACUGGCACCAGGAAAUCUCUGAUCUUGACUGGAAUGUUUUCGGUGAUGCCCAACGGAUGUUGAACCGAUUGAUCCGCUAGUUGUAGGCACAUUGAUGUUGGUUCUAGGGUCGCAUGCUCAAGCUUUUUGUAGACUGAUGCUGGCAUCACACUGACACUUGCUCCGAGAUCACAAAGUGCAUUGUUGAAGUGUUGGUUUCCGAUUGAGCAAUCAAUAGUGGGGCAUCCUAGAUCUUUCUUCUUCUUCGGCGGUUUAUUGAGGAUGGCCGCACUACAUUCUUCUGUCAGCUUGAUAACCUCAGUGGUGGGCAGUGGUCUCUUCUUGUUAAGAAUAUCUCUGAUAUACUUUGCCUAUGUAGGUACCUGUAUGGCAUCCAGCAGAGGUAUGUUGACAUAUAAUUUCUGAAUGACCUCUACAAACUUACCAAACUGCUCAUCCGACUGCAGUCCUCUGUUUCUUCUGCGAAAUGGCAAAUAGUUGGUGUCGUAAAAAUCAUUCCUCAUUUCUCCAGUUCUUGGUGGUUGUAGCAGAUCUUCUGCUUCAACUGGGCUUUCUUCUUCUAUCACUGCUGGUUGCACUGGUGCCGAUGUUCUUUGUUUCUCUUUUGGGUAUGGGGGAUCUCUGGUGGCUUUGCCUCCUCUAGUAGUUAUAUUCUUUACCUGCUCAAUGUUAGUAGCAAUAGGCAGUGCAGUAGCUAGCUCUAUUAAUUUAAGCUCUACCCUUUUAUUAAGAGUGUUUUGCUCAUAAAAGGCAGUUAAUAGAAAAUCCAUUUUAUUGUGUAUAUCUUUUAGAGAUGAUUCAUUUGUAUCUAGCCUUUGUUUAACUUCAUCAUUAAUUUUGGUUUGUUGAGCAAUUAUCUCUUUUAAUGAAAGUUGCUUGAAAGUAUUACCUGAAUUCAUACCUUUGCUAUUGGAUUGACUCGAAGUUGGUUGAUAUUUGUAUGUUGUCUCAAUGGCCCUUUGAUCUUCUUUGAACUUGGCCCUCUGGUCAAUCCAAUGGAGCAAAUUUUCCAUCUUAGUUGAUAAUGCAUUUACUUCUUCUGGUAUUUCUUUAGUUUGAUGACAUUGUUGAGCUUUAUCUUGGAACCAGCUUUGAUUUUCUGCUAUCUUAUCCAAAAGUAUCUCUACUUUUCCAAUUGUAAGCUCCAAGAAUGAUCCUUUAGCAGAUGCAUCUAGGCACUCACGAGCCUUCUGGGUUAAUCCAUGGUAGAAGAUCUGCAUAAGUAACCAUGUGGCCAUUCCAUGGUGAGGACAAUCUGAUAUGUAUCCUUGAAAACGCUCCCAUGCUUCUGAAAUGGCUUCUGUCUUCUGCUGUUGGAAACUGACAAUAUUUCCUCUUAAGGCAGUUGUUUUGCCUAUAGGGAAAAACUUUGAUAGAAAGGCAUCUGACAAGUUUAUCCAGUUGUUGAUGUUAUCUUGAUGAGUGUAGAACCACUUCCUCGCUUUCCCUUCUAGUGAGAAUGGAUAAAGGCGAAGCAGUAUAACAUCUUUGUCGACUCCAUUGAUGUGGAUUGUGCUUCCAAUUUCUAUGAAGUUCUGCAAGUGUGCACUAGCAUCUUCAUGUGCCUUUCCACUGAAUUGUGUAGCUUGCACCAAAUUGAUGAGGCUUGACUUGAGCUCAAACUCGGAUAUUCCUUCUUCUACUGCAAGUAUUGGACUAGUCGGAAUGUUCUUAAGGCUUGGAGCAGAGAAUUCUUGUAGGGUCUUCUGUGCCAUAGCUUCAGCAAUUGGUAGCUAGCUUCUUCUUAUCCUGAUUGCUUUGGUUCUGAUGAUGAAGAGUUGAAUGUACCCAAAGUCAAUCCUGAUAUACCCUGUAUAAAAAUAUAAACAUAGAAAAACAACAGGGUGAACCUGCCAAAGCAGAGGUGCCUUGUUAUGAUUUCUCACUUAGUAGCUGUUUUAUGCAAUUAUUUCUCUAUAGUCUAGUCUAAUAUUUUAUAUGAAUAACCUUGACUGAUUUCCUGACUUUCCUUACCGUUCCUAUGUGUUACCCUUUUGUUCCCCGGCGACGGCGCCAGAAAUGCUUGUUGACACUAGCUAACACCACUUAGAUACUAGGUUGUCAUCCCCAGCAUGGUGCCAGAGUGUACAAAGGUAUUUAUAAAUGUAAAGUCUCUCUAAAAAAUAAUCUAUUCUAUCCGCAAGCGUGCAGAUAAAACACCUCAUUGUAGCAUUUCACCAGGAUAAGUAUUCCAGGUAUCGUUAUUUAUAAUUUUGCUUAAGAGAACAAAAGAGAUGAAAUUAAAAUAAGGACAAAACCUAUCAAGGCAUAUACUAGAGAUAAACUUGUAAGAACAUGAUUACUAAUGAGAAACUUGUCACACAAUCACUUACUUUGGCAGGGGGUAAACCAUAAAGAUAAUGAUAAUGAAUUAUAAGUUCAAGGGCAAAUAACACAACGAUUAGAGAAUAGACUACUCCUCAUAUAUGUAGGUGACGACGGAUUAGCUAGAGAAUGGAUUCUAAGUUAUCUACUAUCUACUAAGUCAUAACCUACUCUAGUUAUCUACAAGAUCAUAUAUAGCAUAAAAGACUCUUUAUUCAUGUAUAAGGAACAUUGCUAAAGUAAAUCAGAACAUCGCAAGACUUACUCUGCAAUACAAGUUUUGCCUGUCCUAUCAACGGAGGGUGGACUAUAUAAGAAUCAACGAAGCUGUCACUAUUGCAAACUACCAAACAACCCGGCCAAUAGGAUACAUUUGCAGAUAAAUAACAUCUAAGCACCACGCUCACAUGUGAUCUAUCACCUAACUCCCUCGCGUCAAGAGCUAAGCGCUUUGCAAACUUAUACAUAAACUCAUUAUCAAUCAUAACUAUAUCAAAUAUAGAACUAGAGCAAACUAAGAACAUAAUAAUUAGAGACAUAAUGCAAUUAGAACAAAGAAUUAGAGAAAGAUAUGAAUAAUACCAAUCUUUAUUACCGAAGAUCCGAAUCCAAAGCGUAGUGCUCUACUUCUCUAAUUGCUAUCUAAUCAAACCUCUAAACUUGAAGGAUUAGGGAGUAGCUAAUUCUAAUUCUUUGUGGGAGAGAAGCUCUAAACCCUAACUUUGAUGGCUACCUUUGAAUAAUGAUUUCUCCUCUUCUCCUCUCUCCCCCAGGGGUGGAGAGGCCAUGAUUAUAUAGUCCUUUCAAGUGAAUUUGGGCCGUUGGAUCAAACCGACAUUGAUUGUAUGGUUUAGAUUCAUCUUUUAUGUCGGUGGAGCUUAGUCCCGAAAGAGAGUCCUGAUCCAACUCCUGGCCAGGGCGGGUGCCCAAGGGGGGUGGGUGGGCGCCCUGCCCCCGAGCCUGAUCGUCUUCCGCUUCCUUCCCGUGGCUUCUGGAGUCUUCUAGAUCGAGGAAAAUUGCGCGGCACGUAAUUAUCUCGUUGUAAACAUGACAUGUGGGCCUUCUCUCCAUAUUCUUUGAUAACUCCCUGCAGAAAUAGAUAAACACCAAAGCUCGUGGAAUUCUGUCAGAUAAAACCCUAAUUCUAGAUGUUUGGUGCAUAUUGAUCCUUUUUUAUUUGAUUAUUAAUUUUAGUACUUAAGGACCGUCAACAGAGUCGAUCUUUAGAUUAGCUAGGCUUCCUUGGGAAGUCAUCUCUAUUCCCAAGUUCUCAAGAUCUUGGCAUAGAGUUACAUCUCUAGGCGUCACUGUUAAGCAAUUAUAGUGAGCCUUACGACUGAGGGCAUCUGCUACUACAUUCGCCUUGCCUGGGUGAUAAUGCACCUCAAGAUCGUAGUCUUUGAUCAAUUCUAGCCACCUUCGCUGGCGCAUAUUAAGCUCGGCUUGAGUAAAAAUAUACUUCAAUCUCUUAUGAACUGUGUAUAGAUGACAAGUGUUUCCCAACAGGUAGUGGCGCCAGAUUUUCAAAGCAUGCACUACGAUGGCUAGCUCAAGAUCGUGGGUCGGGUAAUUCUCUUCGUGUGGCUUAAGUUGCCUAGAGGCAUAUGCAAUUACUCGACCCUCCUGCAUUAGCACAGAGCCGAUCCCUAUUCUUGAUGCGUCACAAUACACAUCAAAGGGCGUCUCAAUAUUAGGCUGGGCUAAUACAGGUGCAGUAGUCAGCAACCUUUUCAGAGUCUGAAAGGCCUGCUCACAUUCAGACGACCAAACAAAUUUUGUUUGAUUCUUGAGCAAGGUUAUGAUUGGCUUAGCAACCCUUGAAAAGUCCGGAAUGAAGCGGCGGUAAUAUCCCACCAUACCCAAAAAGCUACGGACCUCAUGCACCGUAGUAGGGGGCUUCCAAUUCAAAACAUCUUCUACUUUACCUGGGUCUACAGCGACUCCCUCUGCUGAUAAUACAUGACCCAGGAAAUGAACUUUGUCCACCCAUAACUCACACUUGCUAAACUUGGCAUAUAGUUGAUGGUCUCCCAGACGGGUUAACACAAUCCUCAGAUGUUCAGCGUGUUCUUUCCUUGUUUUAGAGUAGAUCAAGAUGUCAUCAAUGAAGACGACUACAAAUUUGUCUAGCUCCGGCAUAAAGACGGAGUUCAUCAAGUACAUGAAGUGAGCUGGUGAAUUGGUUAAACCAAAGGACAUCACCAAAUAUUCAUACAGCCCAUAACGGGUUGUGAAAGUCAUCUUGGGAACAUCUUCUAGCUUAAUCUUGAUUUGAUGGUACCCAGAUCUUAAAUAAAUUUUUGAGAAUACUUUAGCCCCGGCUAACUGAUCAAAUAGCAGGUCAAUGCGGGGCAAUGGGUACUUGUUUUUAAUCGUCACCUCAUUUAAGGGAUGAUAAUCAACACAUAGUCUCCUGUCUGAUCCUUCUUUUUCACAAAUAAGGCAGGGCAACCCCAUGGAGAUGAACUGGGUUGAAUAAAACCCUUCUGCAGCAACUCCUAUAAUUGGGUUUUCAAUUCAGCUAGUUCUUUUGGUUCCAUUCGAUAGACUCUUUGAGAAAUUGGGGUUGUCCCUGGUUUCAAUUCUAUACUGAAUUGAACAUCCCGGUCUGGUGGCAGACCUGGUAGGUCCUCAAGAAACACAUCUGGGAACUCCCGAACCACUAGAAUAUUUUCAACUUCUUUCAUUGUGGUGGCAUGAACUUGUUCAAUUGCCCAUUUUGGAGUGGCUAGUUGGAUUAGAAGGUAAGAAUUACCAUUGGGCAAUGGCAUCUUGAUGGUUCGAUGAAGGAUGUCUAGCACAACCCCUUGUUGUGUCAUCCAAUUCAUGCCUAAUAUAACAUCAAUAUCUUGAUCUUUAAGAACAAUCAUACUAGUAGGAAAACUAUACCCACCAAAUUUGAUAGGUAUCUGAUAAACCAUUUCCUUAGAACUCAGUCGUCCUCCUAGCGACUGUAUAUAGAAAUGAUCUUUAGUUUCCCCGAUGGGUAUGUCAUGCUUUAUCACAAAGGUGCGAUUGAUGAAAGUAUGGGAUGCUCCCAAAUCAAAAAGCAUCAAGGUAGGAUGAUUAGCAACAGGAAACGUACCCAUCAUCACCGGCUCUCCUUCCGGUAUGGUUUCAACCUCUGUAUGAAAAAUUUGUCCCACCUUCUUUGCAGGUUUACCCCUAUGUGCAUUUUGCCCUUUAUGAGCCACAUUUUUAAACUGGCUCGGUUGAGGUUGGCCGGUAGGCGGCCUUUGGAAAGUGGGGUUAUUUUGUCGAGGCUAGGGGCAUUCUUUAGAGAAAUGCCCGGGUUUACCACAAUUAUAGCAAGGGUAAUUGUGGUUCGGCGGAGCAGUAGGACGAACACAUGGGGCAUUCGGCUGGCAUGGUGCUGCAGUGAUGGCUGUAGGUCUAGGAUAAACCUGCUACCCAGGUCAGUACUGUAGAGGAGGAAAAGAACCACGAAAAGGUGGCUGCACCGGGAAGCGCCCGUGGCUCUGUUGGUGAUAAAUGAUUCUCUAGCGCUUUUGGCCGUGACCAGAGAAAGAGGAAGAAGUAGCCUUCUUCUUUGCCUCCUUAUGCUUUCUAUUUUUCUCUUCUGAGGCGAUAGCAAUGUUAACCGCCUCGUAGUAAGUGGCAUUCUGACAUGUGGUCAUCAUUGUUUGAAGUUUUGUAUUGAGGCCGCGCAUAAAGGAGGCCUUCUUCUUCCGAUCCGUGUUCACGUGCUCAGUGGCAUACUCAGAAAGGUGAUUGAAUUUAGCCACAUACUCCAUUACGCUUUUAUCACCUUGUCGCAAGGCGAGGAAUUCUUCCGCUUUCAUUGCCAUCAGUCCUUCUGGAAUAUAGUGGGCGCAAAAAGCGUCCUUGAAUUCUGUCCAAGUGACCUGGUGUCCAGGAGUCUGGAUGGCAAGAAAAUUUUCCCACCAUGCCCCUGCAGCUCCCUGAAGCUGUUGGGCUGCGAAGAGGGGCUUUUGAGUUUCUGAGCAACGGAUCAGGAUGAAUUUUCGCUCCAUUGUCCAGAGCCAGUCGUCAGCCUCCAAAGGCUCAUCUGCCUUUGUGAACACUGGUGGCCUCAUUUCAGUGAAAUCCACGUAACGAGUUUCUCCCUCUGGAUUAUUUUGUACUCGGAAGUUUGGGGGACGAUGGGUGCUAACUCGCGCAACAGACGAGCAUUGUCUGUGGUGGCACUCAGAAGAACAGCAAUUGCAUCAGCCAGGGAAGGUGGAGCAGGCGGAGGGUUGGGGAUGUCCUCCCCUCCUUGGGAAGGUCCAGCUCCAUCAGAUCCAUGGGUGCGCAUCGGCAUCUGCUACAACAGUUAUAUUUACCCAUUAUCUCUUAAAACCCACAACUUAGAAACAUAUUUUACAUACUUCAACUUAUUUAUCAUACAAUAGUUCAGCAUACUGAAAACAAAUGAGUACAAGUUUAAAACACACUUUACUACUAACCCAACCCAACUACGAUAGUCUAGAAAGAUCUAUAACGACGUCGCCCGCAACUCCACCGAACUAGUCGGUGUGGUCGGAACCAUAGCCCGGGUCGUCGUUAUCGCCAUGGUUGUCCCUCGGGUUGUCGUCACCACAGUCGGGUUCCUCUUCAUUGCUGGGGUCUUGAUCAGGCUCUCCCCCAUCUGCUAGCUCUCCAUCAGUAUCUGUUGACACUAGCUAACACCACUUAGAUACUAGGUUGUCAUCCCUAGCAUGGCGCCAGAGUGUACAAAGGUAUUUAUAAAUGUAAAGGCUCUCUAGAAAAUAAUCUAUUCUAUCCGCAAGCGCACAGAUAAAACACCUCAUUGUAGCAUUUCACCAGGAUAAGUAUUCCAGGUAUCGUUAUUUAUAAUUUUGCUUAGGGGAUCUCAAGAAGAUGGAAUUAAAUCAAGGGGGCAAAAUCUAUCAAGGCAUAGACUAGAGAUAAACUUGCAAGAACAUGAUUACUAAUAAGAAACUCGUCACACAGUCACAUACUUUAGCAGGGGGUAAACCAUAAAGAUAAUGAUGAUAAAGUAUAAGUUCAUGGGUAGAUAGCACAGCGAUUAGAAAAUAGACUACUCCUCAUAUAUGUAGGUGAUGUCGGAUUAGCUAGAGAAUGGAUUCUAAGUUAUCUACUAACUACUAAGUCAUAAUCUACUCUAGUUAUCUACAAGAUCAUAUAUAGCAUGAAAGACUCUUCAUUCAUGUAUAAGGAACAUUGAUAAAGUAAAUCAGAACAUCGCAUGACUUACUCCACAAUACCGGUUCUGCCUGUCCUAUCAACGGAGGGUGGACUAUAUAAGAAUCAACGAAGCUGUCACUAUCGCGAACUACCACACGACUCAGCCAAUAGGAUACAUUUGCAGAUAAAUAACAUCUAAGCACCACGCUCACAUGUGAUCUAUCACCUAACUCCCUCGCGACAAGAGCUAAGCGCUUUGCAAACUUAUACAUGAACUCAUUAUCAAUUAGAACUAUAUCAAAUAUAGAACUAGAGCAAACUAAGAACAUAAUAAUUAAAGACAUAAUGCAAUUAGAACAAUAGAAUUAGAGAAAGAUAUGAAUAAUACCAAUCUUUAUUACCGAAGAUCCGAAUCCAGAGCGUAGUGCUCUACUUCUCUAAUUGCUAUCUAAUCAACCUCUAAACUUGAAGGAUUAGGGAGUAGCUAAUUCUAAUUCUUUGUGGGAGAGAGAUCUAAACCCUAACUUUCAUGGCUACCUCUGAAUAAUGAUUUCUCCUCUUCUCCUCCAGGGGCCAGGGGGUCUGGUUUUAUAGUCCCCUCAAGUGAACGUGAGCCAUUGGAUCAAACCGACAUAGAUUGUAUGGUUUAGAUUGAUCCUUUAGGUCGGUGGAGAGUUGUCCAGAGAGAGUCCUGAUCCAACUCCUGGCUAGGGCAGGCGCCCAAGGGGGGUGGGCGGCCGCCUAGCUCCCGAGCCCGAUUCGCGUCCCGUUCGUUCCCGUGGCUUCUUGAUCCUUCUAGAUUGAGGAAAAUUGCGCGGCACGUAAUUAUCUCGUUGUAAACAUGACAUGUGGGCCUUCUCUCCCUAUUUUCUGAUAAACCCCUACAGAAAUAGAUAAACACCAGAGCUCGUGGAAUUCUGUCAGAUAAAACCCCUAUUCUAGAAGUUUGUUUCAUAUUGAUCCUUUUUCAUGUUUAUUUGAUUAUUAAUUUUAGUACUUAAGGACCGUCAACAAACUCCCCCAAGCUUGCCCUUUGCUCGUCCCUGAGCAAAUAGCUAAACUCAGACGGAUCAGGAGUUGCUUCGAUGUUUUCUUUCCUGACAGGCACACAUGCCUUUACAUAAAAAUUCUUCCAGAUUAGAGUGAAGUGUUAUGGAGUUUAGUACCUGCACUUAAAUCUUAAGUAAUCGAAAGACAAAAUAGUUAAGUCAAGCACUAUCCCUCUUGCCUAUACUUCACCUUUGUUCUAGAGUUUUUUAUAAGUUUUCAAAAUAAAACUCAGAGUUCCCAGCAAUGAUUCUCUCAGGUCUCUCUAUAUGUGGUAUUUGUGGAUCCUUACCAUAAUGUCACUUACCUAUAGCUAAUGGAAUAUUUAAGUGGAGCUCAUAGGAGUGGAAAACAGCUCAUACAUAUGUUGUCUAAUCGAGCCAUGGAUCCAAAGGAACUCAGCAUAUAAUUAAAUCAAGAUGUGCAUGUGUGGUGGAGUAAAUGAUAGUGAUGGUGAUAGUGUUAAUAAAUCUUAGUUCUCAUUGCUCCUCAUAUUGCUAUCUCUCCUCUUCUUUUAUCUUUGCCUUGGGAGAACAUGGCUAUCUUUUCUCUCUUUUUUUUUAGGUGGGUAAUAGAUACCCCUAAUUCUACUGUCGGACACUUGUCCAUUUUUACCUCUCAAGUGGGCAUCUUUGUACCCCUAAUUCUACUUCAGACACUUGUCCAUUUUUACCUCUCGUCUCACUCUUUUUCUUUCUUUUUCGAGGUUCCCGGGCACUUGCCCCUUUUUAUUUCCUCGUAUAUAUUUUUGCAUAACCCAUGCCUCUUCUGCAUUGAAUCUUUUUAGAGAGAGAGAAUAACAAUAUUCGGGACAGUGAGUGAUAAUAUUUUUAGCAAUUUUAAUGAUUGGUGAUGAAUGCUGUGGUAGAUGUGUGCAAGUGAAUAUCUUAAUUUAACCACAUGAAAAGCUCCUAAGGGUCAACACAGCUCGAUCAAACUCAAUGUAAAUAUAGUAAAAGAUGUUAUAGCAAGUAUGGCUGUGGUAGGUAGUUUGUUAUGCUUGGAACUCAUCAUGUGAUUUGUAAGUUUUCAAAAUAAAUCUCCAGAACUUAGUGUAGUAGGAACAAGAUAAACUGCUCAACUUUAUAUCAUGUCUUUCUCUUACCUAGACUUUAGUUUUAUGCUUUCCAAAGAUAGUAAUUUCAGUUUUAGUAAUUCCCGGAAGAAUUCUAAUAUAAAAGCUAGGUACUUGUAAGUAAGCAAACAGAGCAACUAUUCAUCAUUUCCAUCAUGCAUCUUUUUGGUCUUUUUAUUUUUUUUAGAGAUUAAACUUAGCAGAAAAAUAAAGCACACUUAUCUACACACUCCUUUUAUUUUGUUUUCAUGUUUAUUAAGUGCAGUAGAUUAAAGCAAGAAAAUAUUUAUUUGGUUUUCUAAGUUUUCCUUUUAAGAUAAAUAAAAUACUAAGACAGAAUAGAAUAAAUAAGAAGAGCAAAUAAAAACUUACUUG
Molecule: long non-coding RNA, 13619 nt
Filed under: Sorghum bicolor (sorghum)
Lineage: Eukaryota; Viridiplantae; Streptophyta; Magnoliopsida; Poales; Poaceae
Description: long non-coding RNA (SBIC_LNC010580)
Rfam family: Plant small nucleolar RNA R71 (bases 4902-5008)
Source: RNAcentral